CCAAUACAAGGAUGGAAACAUGGCUCAGCUCUCCCAGCGUCAGGCACUGACCCGUCAGUAUAUUCUGUGUCGUUUCAGUCUUAGAAGCUGAUCAGUUUACCACACACACAAUUGGAAGCAGCCUGGAGGGUGGAAUUAGAGAGCUGGCACCCACAACAACAGGGAAAAAGAACACUUCACUGACAGCUGUUGUCCAGAUGCCUGGGAGAGGGCCAAGAUUGCAGAGAGGAAUGUCACCAGGUCAGGAUCUGGAAACAAUCAGCUCUUAUGGUUUUAAGGAUGAAGCGCCAAGAUCUUAAGGAACCUGAAUUCCUGGUGAGCAGUCAAGUUCUUUAAUCCGCCCCCAGCAGGAUUCCGGCGGCUUAAAAAAGAAAAGAAAAAGAAAAUCUAUUUUAAAAACAAGUCAAACCAAAGCGAACCUACCCUAACCCUCCUCAUUUCUAAAGAAAAAGCCGCUUCCAACGCAGGUUUUUUUUCCUAAGGAAAAAGUCCUCCUGCACACUGCGACAGCUCAGCUGCAGGCCCCCAAUUAGGGGACGGCAGCCGGCGUGCGGCGCGGGGACCAGCGUCCUCCGCAGCCUGGGGCCCG
Molecule: long non-coding RNA, 589 nt
Filed under: Equus asinus (donkey)
Lineage: Eukaryota; Metazoa; Chordata; Mammalia; Perissodactyla; Equidae
Description: lncRNA (ENSEASG00005025933.1)
Source: RNAcentral